This is a non-coding RNA of Macaca mulatta (Rhesus monkey), 2433 nucleotides long. NCBI's taxonomy places the organism in Eukaryota, Metazoa, Chordata, Mammalia, Primates, Cercopithecidae. The record is from RefSeq and is a predicted model, not a curated record.
GGUCUAUGGGAGAGGCCUAAACGAAAGUGUUUUGUGUCAGGCAUCUGACCCGAAACUCAGCCAUUGUAACCCCUAUGACCUGCACAUAUAUGUCCAGAUGGCCUGCAGGAGCCAAGAAGCCUGGAGCAGCCAAAAAAACCACAAAGAAAGUGAAACAGGCUGUUCCUGCCUUAACUGAUUAACCAGCAUUACAACAUUCCAACAUUGUGACUUUUCCCUGCCCCACCUUAACUGAUUAAUCAACUCUGUGACAUUCUUCUCCUUGACAAUGAGUCCCAUGAUCUCUCCACCAUUCACCUUGUGACCCCCUCCCCUGCUAACAAUAGAUAACCACCUUUAACUGUAACUUUCCACUGCCUACCCAAGCCCUAUGAAGCUGCCCCUAUCCUAUCUCCCUUUGCUGACUCUCUUCGGACUCAGUCCACUUGCACCGAAGUGAAUAAACAGCCUUGUUGUUCACUCAAAGCCUGUUUGGUGGUCUUUUCACAUGGAUGCACUUGACAUUUGUUGCCGUGACUUGGAUUGAGGGACCUCCCUCAGGAGAUGAAUCCCCUGUCCUCCUGCCUUUUGCUCCAUGAGAAAAUCCACCUCUGACCUUGGAACCUCGGACUGGCCCAAAAAGCACUUCACCAAUUUUAAAUCGGAUCUCCUCAGCUUACUGGCAAGAGUGAUGCUGCCCAAUCACCUUGGAAGCCCCCUGGACCAUCACAGAUGCUAAGCUUCGGAUAACUCAUACAGUGGAAGGACUAGGGCCCUGGGGCCAGGGGAGACCCAGGGGAGACCCAGCCUCCAAGGCGUGCCACAGGGGAGCUUUACCCAGAUGGAGACCGACUCUCCCCAUGUCCCAGCACCCUGCCUGGCAGCACAAUGGAACCAGGGAUGGGGCUGCAGGACAAUACCAGCACUUCAGGAACUGUGGUAAAGAGUAAGGGCCCAAGGUGUCACACCUUGGAUUCACCAUAGUCGGCUGAAACCAGCAGCAGCAGCGACUCCUGAUGAUGACCAGUGGAUUAGCCAACAAGACCCAGAUCACCCCACCCGAAUAGUCCUACCGCAAAACCCAACCACCAGUAAGAAGGACAACUGCCCUGAUCUGACCACACCAGAGGUUGGUCAGUCUAUGUAUGACUGAAGCUUGAGGAUCCUGCAAGCUCUAUGUAGUCACAUCCCGGAAGCUGACUAGUUUACGCACAGCCAAAGCUAAAAGGACCAUCUCCAGAUAAGUAAAUGUAGAUACAAUUCAUAAGCCUAGCUAUAAUUCUGUCAAUACUGAUUGUUCUGUUGUUAUAUUAUUACUGCAAAUGCUUCAAAUGUCUAUGCCCAGAGAAAGGUUUGCUGUGCCCAUGUGUAGUAUAAGCAUGUUUCUAUUACAUACACUGAUGUUCUUACCAUUUUUGCCUACACUAAAAGGGGAGAAAUCUCUAAAAAAAAAAAUGCCCACACUGUGUAGACACUACCUGAGUAAGGAAUACCAUAAUUACAACUCUACUGGACCAUACCUACUAUAAAUGUACAGAAACAAAGUUAGGAACCUGCACAUACAACCAGACCACCUACUCAGUCUGUGACCCAAGAAAUAAUCAGCUAGAUGUGUGUUAUGAUCCUAUGUUCUUACCCUAUGAAUUCUGGUUUAAGGUACACAUUAAAUCAGAGAAAAAAAAAAGGAGAGCUUAUAGCUUGAACCAAAAAAGCCCCUCCCUCCUAUAAAGGGCCUGUUUCCUUGUACUUUGAUGCCUGCCAUGCCACUUAUGUUCAUAAUCCCAAAAACCAGAUUAUAAGACAAGGACAUGCAAUCCAUUAAAUUUUACUAUCUUAAAGCCAGAGCUACCUUUUUGGUCUACAGGACGGACAGCACUAUUAUGAGUUAAUAGACAAGGAGCAGGCCUUGGAGUUCCACUACUAAUUGUCAAAAAGACUAGAAGGACCCAAAUGCUUCCAACCCCACAAUUCCGGGUCCAUAAGUCAUUCUAUAAGCAUUUUCAUCAGACAGUGCCUGAGCUUCCCCCAUCAACUGAAAACUUAUUUGCUCAACUAGGUGAAAACAUAGCUGGCAGUUUAGGAAUUUCCUCAUGCUGUGUAUGUGGAGGAACUAAUAUGGGGGACCAGUGGCCAUGGAAGGCAAAGAAAUUAAUGCCACAAGAUAACUUCACUUCGCUUAACCCUGCCAGUGAAUCAACAGCCUCAGUCAGUGUUUGGCUGUGAAAAAUCUCCAUAAUUGGAAAGUACUGUAUCACCUGAUGGGGAAAGGCUUUCACAGAGGCAGUAGGAGAAACAACUUGCCUAGGACAACAGUAUUAUGAUGAGUCUAAAAACAAAACUCUAUGGAGAAAUGCCCAGAACGAAUUCUAUUUACCAGAUCCAAACCCUUUCUCUCUUUUUAUUAUUAUUAUUAUUAUUAUUAUACUUUAAGUUCUAGGGUACAUGUGCACAACG